CGUUGUUUAUGUACCUCCCGUAUCAGAGCGUGCAUGGUCCAAUUGAGGUGCCAAAGAAGUACGAGGACAUGUAUCCGAACGUGAUUAAUGAAGGGCGAAGAAAGUACAGUGGAAUGGUGUCUGCACUGGAUGAGGCAGUGGGGAAUGUUACCAAAGCACUGAAGGAUCGGGGCUUGUUUGAAAAUACUCUGAUUCUAUUCACUGCAGAU
Haliotis rubra (blacklip abalone) is the source of this 209-nucleotide long non-coding RNA. RefSeq lists it as uncharacterized. Lineage: Eukaryota; Metazoa; Mollusca; Gastropoda; Lepetellida; Haliotidae. The transcript is spliced from 3 exons. The record is from RefSeq and is a predicted model, not a curated record.